Molecule: non-coding RNA, 154 nt
Organism: Kaistia sp. SCN 65-12
Lineage: Bacteria; Pseudomonadati; Pseudomonadota; Alphaproteobacteria; Hyphomicrobiales; Kaistiaceae
Source: Rfam
GCACGGCUCUCCACAGGCCGUGGUCACUGAAGAGGCACUACAUCCUUGCCGGGCGUGCGGAUCGGGUCUCCCGUUCCAAGCGAAGGCAGCGCUCACGAUGAACGCUCCCGUUCGUCAAAGCGACUGCCACCCGCGAAAACUGCCGGCUCAUCCC